GAUGAACGCUGGCGGCGUGCCUAAUACAUGCAAGUCGAGCGAACAGAUAAGGAGCUUGCUCCUUUGACGUUAGCGGCGGACGGGUGAGUAACACAUGGGUAACCUACCUAUAAGACUGGGAUAACUUCGGGAAACCGGAGCUAAUACCGGAUAAUAUUUCGAACCGCAUGGUUCGAUAGUGAAAGAUGGUUUUGCUAUCACUUAUAGAUGGACCCGCGCCGUAUUAGCUAGUUGGUAAGGUAACGGCUUACCAAGGCGACGAUACGUAGCCGACCUGAGAGGGUGAUCGGCCACACUGGAACUGAGACACGGUCCAGACUCCUACGGGAGGCAGCAGUAGGGAAUCUUCCGCAAUGGGCGAAAGCCUGACGGAGCAACGCCGCGUGAGUGAUGAAGGUCUUCGGAUCGUAAAACUCUGUUAUUAGGGAAGAACAUACGUGUAGGUAACUGUGCACGUCUUGACGGUACCUAAUCAGAAAGCCACGGCUAACUACGUG
RNAcentral lists this ribosomal RNA (497 nucleotides) under uncultured bacterium. RNAcentral describes it as "partial 16S ribosomal RNA". It matches the Rfam family "Bacterial small subunit ribosomal RNA", at positions 28 to 507 of the family's 1533-position model. The record is from RNAcentral.